GACGAACGCUGGCGGCGCGCUUAACACACGCAAGUCGAACGGAAAGGCCUUCUUUCCCUUGUGUUUUGCGGGUACUCGAGUGGCGAACGGGUGAGUAACACGUGAGUGAUCUGCCCCCAACUUGGGUAUAAGCCUGGGAAACUGGGUCUAAUUCCCGAUAGGACUGCAGGGUGGUUCCUGUGGUGGAAAACGAUUUUCUAGUGAUUGAGGAUGAGCUCUCUGCUUAUCUGCUUGUUGGUGGGGUAAUGGCCUACCAAGGCGGCGACUGGUAGCCGGCCUGGGGGAGUGGACCGCAAAAUUGAGCCGGAGAAACGGCCAAGACUCCAACGGGAGGAAGAAGGGGGGAAUAUUGCACAAGGGGGGGAAGCCGGAUGCAGCGACGACGGGUGGGGAAUGACGGCCUUCGGGUUGUAAACUCCUUUCGACAGGGAGGAAGCCAGCUGGUUGGAAGGGUGGUGAAGGUAGUGGAAGAAGAAGCACCGGCUAAAUACGUG
Molecule: ribosomal RNA, 494 nt
Filed under: uncultured bacterium
Lineage: Bacteria
Description: partial 16S ribosomal RNA
Rfam family: Bacterial small subunit ribosomal RNA
Source: RNAcentral